RNAcentral lists this ribosomal RNA (748 nucleotides) under uncultured bacterium. Its description in RNAcentral is "bacterial SSU rRNA". It matches the Rfam family "Bacterial small subunit ribosomal RNA", at positions 9 to 746 of the family's 1533-position model. The record is from RNAcentral.
GAGUUUGAUCCUGGCUCAGAUUGAACGCUGGCGGCAUGCCUUACACAUGCAAGUCGAACGGCAGCAUGACGUGUAGCAAUACACGUUGAUGGCGAGUGGCGAACGGGUGAGUAAUAUAUCGGAACGUGCCCUGUAGCGGGGGAUAGCCCGGCGAAAGCCGGAUUAAUACCGCAUACGCUCUACGGAGGAAAGCGGGGGUCGCAAGACCUCGCACUAUAGGAGCGGCCGAUAUCGGAUUAGCUAGUUGGCGGGGUAAAAGCCCACCAAGGCGACGAUCCGUAGCUGGUCUGAGAGGAUGAUCAGCCACACUGGAACUGAGACACGGUCCAGACUCCUACGGGAGGCAGCAGUGGGGAAUUUUGGACAAUGGGCGCAAGCCUGAUCCAGCCAUGCCGCGUGAGUGAAGAAGGCCUUCGGGUUGUAAAGCUCUUUCGGCAGGAACGAAAUGGUCCGUGCUAAUACCACGGACUGAUGACGGUACCUGAAGAAGAAGCACCGGCUAACUACGUGCCAGCAGCCGCGGUAAUACGUAGGGUGCAGGCGUUAAUCGGAAUUACUGGGCGUAAAGCGUGCGCAGGCGGUUUCUUAAGUCAGUGUGAAAUCCCCGGGCUUAACCUGGGAACUGCGUUUGAAACUGGGAAACUCGAGUGUGGCAGAGGGGGGUGGAAUUCCACGUGUAGCAGUGAAAUGCGUAGAUAUGUGGAGGAACACCGAUGGCGAAGGCAGCCCCCUGGGUUAACACUGACGC